This 757-nucleotide long non-coding RNA is filed under the name Malus domestica (apple). Its description in RNAcentral is "long non-coding RNA (MDOM_LNC018807)". Lineage: Eukaryota; Viridiplantae; Streptophyta; Magnoliopsida; Rosales; Rosaceae. The record is from RNAcentral.
AAUAUGUCCUUUAAACCUGAAAACACAUAAAAGUAGCUUAAAAGACUACUUUAACGAAGAAAACAUAACAAAGAUGCAUAAGAACUAGCUAACUAAGGCGCAUAAAUAUGCUCCUAUCAAACAUGAAUGCGAUUUACUUAUCUAUUUGAUUGAUAACUUAUUCUUGUGUGUUGAUUAAGGAGGCCUACUUAGUUUGCAUGCUUGAAUCUGGUGCUAAAUUAUAAGGGACUUUCACCUAAUCGUUAGGAACUUUAUAUUACAAGUAGUGAGAUUGUUAGUCACAAUCGUUUAAGUAGAUUCUUGGCAAAAGUAUCAUGCAGUUCAUAGUUAUAAUUGCCUUGUCAAUGCUUAUGAUUUCCAUGGAAUUUAAUGAUCUUUAAAUGUAUCUCUAUCAUGUUGUUCAUAUAGGGAACUUGAGAAGAAUAAUUUGGGUUGUUGCAUGCAUUCAUCCAAUUCAAUGAAUUUAGGGAAAUCUGAUAGUUAAUUUGUGCAUUCAUGAUUAAUUCGGGGCAUUGUCGUUGAUAGGUGCAUAUUUAUGCGACUUAAUUAGCUUGUUUCCUUGCAUUUACGUUGCUAGUGAUAGGAGCAUAUUUAUGCGCCUUAGUUAGCUAGUUCUUAUGCAUUUCCAUGGUGUUUUCUUAGUUAAAGUAGUCUUUUAAGCUAGUUUUAUGUGUUUUCAGGUUUUAAGGCCAAAGGAUGCCAGAAGAUGCAUUUUGGAGCUUUUGGAGCAAAAUUGGGCUUGGAAUGAUUAUCACAU